CUACAUCCCCAACCGGUUCUCUUUCUCUCUUCCUCUCUCUAUCUAUUUUUUCUCCCUCUCUCUCUUUUCCAGCUUACUCCCGUGAGCUCUCCUUCUCAUUCCUCUUCAAAACCUGCAACAAAUCAAACACAAAAUAUUAUUUUUGUAAUCCCUGGAGCUCAAGGAACCCAACCAUGGCCUUGCAUACGGCAUCGGUGCAUGGUGCGAGGUCCUACCAUUGAAGCCGAGAGCUUAAGCUCUCAAUCUCUAACCCAAGUGAUGUUUCUAUCACUGUAUUGUGUUAUUGAACUUUAAAUCAUGUUGUGUUGCAAUUUUGUGUGGUUAAUUCGAGGGCUUAAUUCCUUGCAUGUGAUUCCGACAAAGGAAAACAGACAACUUCGACGAGUUCAAGGUCCAAUCUCGGUGAAAUCUCUUGCAUUUCACCUGGAUUUUUUGACGAACUCGGGCCAUCACUUUUAGGCCAUUUGCCUUCUCCCUCCGUGGCUCCUUUCAUCCCUGACGUCAGCAUGGCGUCAUACGGGCCGGUCCCAAGGUCUAUCAAUUUUGGGCUGGCCUAGAAACCAGCUUGGGCUAGGUGCCAAGCUAUCAUGUGGGCUAGAUAGACUUCCCUAGGUGCCAGGCAAUUUUUUUAGCUGUGUGCCGGCCUAUCCCACCCCCGAUGGAAGUGCUCUUAUAUAAAAACAGGUGAACUGCUAAUUUAGUCCCUGAAUUAUCACCUCAGUGAAAAUUAGGUCCCUAAACUUUUUUUUUCAGAAAAAUCAAUCAUUGAAUUAUAAAAAUCUACCAAUUACAUCGCUAAUAUUAUAUUCAAAGCUACUAUAUUCAAUUUUUUGUUAAUUUAAGUCACGUUACUUGCAUGUAGUACACAAUGAAUGGUAGAUUGGUAAUUUUUCAUAUAGAAAUAGUGUAUGAAGUUAAUUUUGGAGGGUAAUCAAUUGAUAGUUCUUCAUAAGAAAUAGUGUAAGUUAACGUUGGAGAGUAAAUUAGAUGUUAGAUUCGCAACUAUAUGAAAUGUUAAGGGCUUAUAGGCGAGAAAAUAACGGUAUUACACUCUAAAGUGUGUAAAGUGACUUCAGUUAAUGAAAAAUUGGAUAAAAUAGCUCUGAAUAUAAUAGUAUGGAUGCAAUUAGCAAUUUUUAAUGAAUUUAGGGACUUAUUUUACCCAAAAAAUAAUUCAGGGACCUAAUUUUCACUGAGAUGAUAAUUUAGGGACUAAAUCGGUACUUCACCCCAUAAAAACACAUGGUAUGCCACUCUUGUUCUAAUCAUAAAGAAAAAUUUCUCUGGAGAUAGGGCGUUUGUGCCUUUCCGCUUUUAUUUCUUGUUGUACCUUCUUUGUUUGCUUAAAGAAUGACUUUUGGAAGGAAAAAAUGAUAUACGAACAUUGUUUGUAAUUUUUUUAUAUUUUAAUUUAUUAUCAUUAAGGGAAAGGAAGAGAGUUCAAUACUA
Long non-coding RNA from Pyrus x bretschneideri (Chinese white pear), 1449 nucleotides. RefSeq lists it as uncharacterized. Lineage: Eukaryota; Viridiplantae; Streptophyta; Magnoliopsida; Rosales; Rosaceae. The transcript has 2 exons. The record is from RefSeq and is a predicted model, not a curated record.